Molecule: ribosomal RNA, 448 nt
Filed under: uncultured soil bacterium
Lineage: Bacteria
Description: bacterial SSU rRNA
Rfam family: Bacterial small subunit ribosomal RNA
Source: RNAcentral
AGAACGAACGCUGGCGGCAGGCUUAACACAUGCAAGUCGAACGCUCCGCAAGGAGAGUGGCAGACGGGUGAGUAACGCGUGGGAAUCUACCUAGUUUUACGGAACAACAGAGGGAAACUUCUGCUAAUACCGUAUACGCCCUAAGGGGGAAAGAUUUAUCGGAAUUAGAUGAGCCCGCGUAAGAUUAGCUAGUUGGUGGGGUAAUGGCCUACCAAGGCGACGAUCUUUAGCUGGUCUGAGAGGAUGAUCAGCCACACUGGGACUGAGACACGGCCCAGACUCCUACGGGAGGCAGCAGUGGGGAAUAUUGGACAAUGGGCGAAAGCCUGAUCCAGCCAAUGCCGCGUGAGUGAUGAAGGCCUUAGGGUUGUAAAGCUCUUUCAGUGGGGAAGAUAAAUGACGGUACCCAACAGAAGAAGACCCCGGCUAACUUCGUGUCAGCAGCCGC